Molecule: long non-coding RNA, 357 nt
Organism: Mauremys mutica (yellowpond turtle)
Lineage: Eukaryota; Metazoa; Chordata; Testudines; Geoemydidae
Exons: 3
Source: RefSeq, a predicted model, not a curated record
UGGGGCUGCUAACCAGCCUACUUGUCCUGGCAGGAGUCAAUGGAGUUUGGGAAGAUUCCUUCAUUCAGUCCUUUCUAAUUGCUCCCAAAAUGUCUGGAAGGUGGUGCUGUGUCUCCUCGCCAGCGGCUAGAACUGCAGAGUCCAUUAGGGUGAGAAUCACCUGGCAUCCCUAGUCAAUGGAAUUGAUGUCACUAUAGUCCCAGUUUGACCAGCAGUCAUCUUCCAUAAUCAUUAGGCUGAAUCAGAACAAAACAAGCUCUUGAGUGAGACACAAUGCCUUUCUGAUUUCCUUUCAUACAUGGUGUCAUGGCAACAGGAAGAAUUCAAAACUAAUCAUAAUCCAGACAAGAUGGCCUC